GCUGGGCGUGGUGGCGGGUGCCUGUAAUCCCAGCUACUUGGGAGGCUGAGGCAGGAGAAUCACUUGAACCUGGGAGGUGGAGGUUGCAGUGAGCUGAGAUCGCACCACUGCCCUCCAGCCUGGGCAACAGAGUGAGACUCUGUCUCAA
RNAcentral lists this non-coding RNA (148 nucleotides) under Gorilla gorilla gorilla (western lowland gorilla). The record is from Rfam by way of RNAcentral. Lineage: Eukaryota; Metazoa; Chordata; Mammalia; Primates; Hominidae.